CGGGGUAGAGUAACGCGUGAGGAACCUGCCUCAAAGAGGGGGACAACAGUUGGAAACGACUGCUAAUACCGCAUAAGCCCACGGCUCGGCAUCGAGCAGAGGGAAAGGAGUGAUCCGCUUUGAGAUGGCCUCGCGUCCGAUUAGCUAGUUGGUGAGGUAACGGCCCACCAAGGCAACGAUCGGUAGCCGGACUGAGAGGUUGAACGGCCACAUUGGGACUGAGACACGGCCCAG
RNAcentral lists this ribosomal RNA (234 nucleotides) under uncultured bacterium. Its description in RNAcentral is "partial 16S ribosomal RNA". It matches the Rfam family "Bacterial small subunit ribosomal RNA", at positions 104 to 334 of the family's 1533-position model. The record is from RNAcentral.